RNAcentral lists this ribosomal RNA (253 nucleotides) under uncultured bacterium. Its description in RNAcentral is "partial 16S ribosomal RNA". It matches the Rfam family "Bacterial small subunit ribosomal RNA", at positions 524 to 776 of the family's 1533-position model. The record is from RNAcentral.
UACGAGUGCCUCAAGCGUUAUCCGGAAUCACUGGGCGUAAAGGGUGUGUAGGCGGUUAUAUUAGUCUUUCGUUAAAGCCCCGGGCUUAACUCGGGAAUCGCGAGAGAAACGGUAUGACUAGAGAAUGUGAGGGGUGUAUGGAACUCUAAGAGUAGGGGUGAAAUCCGUUGAUAUUUAGGGGAACACCAAAAGCGAAAGCAGUACACUGGCACAUUUCUGACGCUGAGACACGAAAGCGUGGGUAGCGAAUGGG